RNAcentral lists this ribosomal RNA (437 nucleotides) under uncultured Clostridium sp. RNAcentral describes it as "partial 16S ribosomal RNA". It matches the Rfam family "Bacterial small subunit ribosomal RNA", at positions 341 to 792 of the family's 1533-position model. RNAcentral also lists the same sequence under 1 other name. The record is from RNAcentral. Lineage: Bacteria; Bacillati; Bacillota; Clostridia; Eubacteriales; Clostridiaceae.
ACGGGAGGCAGCAGUGGGGGAUAUUGCGCAAUGGGGGAAACCCUGACGCAGCAACGCCGCGUGAAGGAAGAAGGUUUUCGGAUUGUAAACUUCUGUUCUUAGGGAAGAAAAAAAUGACGGUACCUAAGGAGCAAGCCACGGCUAACUACGUGCCAGCAGCCGCGGUAAUACGUAGGUGGCAAGCGUUGUCCGGAUUUACUGGGUGUAAAGGGCGCGUAGGCGGGUAUGCAAGUCAGUCGUGAAAUACCGAGGCUCAACUUCGGGGCUGCGAUUGAAACUGCAAAUCUUGAGUAUCGGAGAGGAAAGCGGAAUUCCUAGUGUAGCGGUGAAAUGCGUAGAUAUUAGGAGGAACACCAGUGGCGAAGGCGGCUUUCUGGACGACAACUGACGCUGAGGCGCGAAAGUGUGGGGAGCAAACAGGAUUAGAUACCCUGGUA